CCUACGGGCGGCAGCAGUGAGGAAUAUUGGUCAAUGGGCGCGAGCCUGAACCAGCCACGUCGCGUGAAGGAUGACUGCUCUACGGGUUGUAAACUUCUUUUAUAAAGGAAUAAAGUGAGGCACGUGUGCCUUUUUGUAUGUACUUUAUGAAUAAGGAUCGGCUAACUCCGUGCCAGCAGGCGCGGUAAUACGGAGGAUCCGAGCGUUAUCCGGAUUUAUUGGGUUUAAAGGGCGCGUAGAUGGGUUGUUAAGUCAGUUGGGAAAGUGUGGGGCUCAACCGUAAAAUUGCAAUUGAUACUGGCAGCCUUGAGUACAGGUGAGGUAGGCGGAAUGCGUGGUGUAGCGGUGAAAUGCGUAGAUAUCACGAAGAACUCCGAUGGCGAAGGCAGCCUACUAAACUGCCACUGACAUUGAUGCUCGAAAGUGUGGGUAUCGAACAGGAUUAGAUACCCGAGUAGUC
RNAcentral lists this ribosomal RNA (460 nucleotides) under uncultured bacterium. Its description in RNAcentral is "partial 16S ribosomal RNA". It matches the Rfam family "Bacterial small subunit ribosomal RNA", at positions 338 to 795 of the family's 1533-position model. The record is from RNAcentral.